AGUGAACGCUGGCGGUAGGCCUAACACAUGCAAGUCGAACGGCAGCACAGUAAGAGCUUGCUCUUACGGGUGGCGAGUGGCGGACGGGUGAGGAAUACAUCGGAAUCUACUUUUUCGUGGGGGAUAACGUAGGGAAACUUACGCUAAUACCGCAUACGACCUACGGGUGAAGGCAGGGGAUCUUCGGACCUUGCGCGAUUGAAUGAGCCGAUGUCGGAUUAGUUAGUUGGCGGGGUAAAGGCCCACCAAGGCGACGAUCCGUAGCUGGUCUGAGAGGAUGAUCAGCCACACUGGAACUGAGACACGGUCCAGACUCCUACGGGAGGCAGCAGUGGGGAAUAUUGGACAAUGGGCGCAAGCCUGAUCCAGCCAUACCGCGUGGGUGAAGAAGGCCUUCGGGUUGUAAAGCCCUUUUGUUGGGAAAGAAAAGCAGCAGGUUAAUACCCCGCUGUUCUGACGGUACCCAAAGAAUAAGCACCGGCUAACUUCGUG
Molecule: ribosomal RNA, 492 nt
Filed under: uncultured bacterium
Lineage: Bacteria
Description: partial 16S ribosomal RNA
Rfam family: Bacterial small subunit ribosomal RNA
Source: RNAcentral